CCUACGGGAGGCAGCAGUGGGGAAUAUUGGACAAUGGGCGAAAGCCUGAUCCAGCAAUGCCGCGUGAGUGAUGAAGGCCUUAGGGUUGUAAAGCUCUUUUACCAGGGAUGAUAAUGACAGUACCUGGAGAAUAAGCUCCGGCUAACUCCGUGCCAACAGCCGCGGUAAUACGGAGGGAGCUAGCGUUGUUCGGAAUUACUGGGCGUAAAGCGUACGUAGGCGGUUAUUCAAGUCAGAGGUGAAAGCCUGGAGCUCAACUCCAGAACUGCCUUUGAAACUAGAUAGCUAGAAUCUUGGAGAGGUGAGUGGAAUUCCGAGUGUAGAGGUGAAAUUCGUAGAUAUUCGGAAGAACACCAGUGGCGAAGGCGACUCACUGGACAAGUAUUGACGCUGAGGUACGAAAGCGUGGGGAGCAAACAGGAUUAGAUACCCUGGUAGUCCACGCCGUAAACGAUGAUAACUAGCUGUUCGGGCUCUACGAGCUUGAGUGGCGCAGCUACGACAUUAAGUUAGUCCGUCCGUCGGGAGGUACGGUCGCGAAGAAUUAAACUACAAGAAGUAGACGGCGNGAGACGUGCCGAACGGACGACGACGAGGGAGGUAGG
This 605-nucleotide ribosomal RNA is filed under the name uncultured bacterium. Its description in RNAcentral is "bacterial SSU rRNA". The stretch from base 1 to 519 matches the Rfam family "Bacterial small subunit ribosomal RNA", at positions 338 to 873 of the family's 1533-position model. The record is from RNAcentral.